CAUGCCUUGGAAGCCUAUGCAAUUUGACAGCACCCCAGUUGAUAGAGCUUGGUUUGGCCUUGGAAGCAUCACAAAGACCCUUCAUUUGGGUUAUCAGGGAAGGACGUUAUUCAGAAGCAUUGGAAAAGUGGAUCGAGGAAAAUGGAUUUGAGGAAAGGACAAGUUCUAGAAGCCUUCUCAUUCGGGGCUGGGCUCCUCAAUUGUUAAUAUUAUCACACCCUGCAAUUGGAGGGUUCAUAACACACUGUGGUUGGAACUCUACCUUAGAGGCAAUAUGUGCUGGUGUUCCAAUGAUUACAUGGCCAAUGUUUGGUGAUCAGUUCUUGAAUGAAAGUGUAGUGGUGCACGUUUUGAAAGUUGGAGUAAAGGUUGGGGUGCAAACUCCGAUGAGAUGGGGCAAGGAAGAGGAAAUUGGUGUGGAAGUGAAAAAGGUAGACGUUGAAAGGGCAAUAAUAGAGAUAAUGGAUGUGACAAGUGAAGGUGAAGAAAGAAGAAAAAGAAUAAGAGAAUUGAGCGAGAUGGCUGAAAGAGCCGUGGAGAAAGGGGGAUCCUCUCACUCUAACGUGAACUUGCUUAUCCAGGAUAUCACGCAAAAAAUCCAGAGAGACGUGUGAUAUUCUCAUAUACCUUACACCAAUUUGAUGUAAAAGGUCACAGCUUUUAGUUUUUUACUCAAUUCUCUUUCUUUUAAAUGUUGUUCAUCAUAUUUCUCAAAUUUACUAAUUAUCUAUUAGAUUUUUUUAAAAUAUAUGGUGAGUUAGAUUGUUUUUAUUUUAUUUAUAGAAAAUUUGAAAGUUUGAAAGUUUACACUAGUUAAACUGAUAACUAGUUACACAAUAAAAAUAAACAUCAUUUUCAUUUUUGAGGUUAUCGAGCAUGGCGUAUCGGUUUUAGAGUCAAACUAAAGCAUUACUUGUCAUUUUGCUUUUUGAAUUCAUGCUUAGUGCUUGUUAUUAACUAGGUUUCUUUAAAACAAAUCACCACAAGAUUGUUUUUAAUUCGCAGUAAUUUUCUGGCAGUUUUAAAAUCAUCAGACAUUGUUAUUCUGUCAUUUGUUAUUUUCUAUUAAGACAAUAAUACAAUUAUACGUAAUUAUAUGUAAUUAUAAACUAUUAAUUUGAUAAUAAUAGAAUCUCAUAAUUAACUUUAAUUUGUAAAAAGAGUUUUCAUGCACUUAUAAUAUUUUUUAUACAUAAAAUUAUUUUUAUGUAAAUAAAAAAAAUAAAACAUUAGCAUUUUUUUUCCAUCUUCUUAUAUAUUUUCUUAUAUUUUAUGACUUCGAUUGUAACAAUAGUCAUCAUUAUUUGUUGGUAUUUUUAUAUCAUCUCAAAACGCAUGUAAUAAUGUCUUUUGUUGUGUCAACUCACCAGAAACAUAUUUUCUCGUGGUUAGAAAAAACUUCUAGAAAAUGAUCACCACUAGUUUAGUCACUUGAGUCAUUUGUUCCAAAUAAUUUUUGGUGAAUAAUUGAUGAAUAAGAAAAUCACCACUUUCGUCGAUCAAUAUAAUUAUAUGUAAUGAUUAUGUAUUGACAUUUGAUGACACUUAGUCAAGCGCAUAAUCUUUCUACCGAAAUAAUAAUACUAAAAUAUAGAGUAUAGAGGAGAGGGAUCGGGUUUUUUUCAACUAACUUUAUUUUAUUCUUUACUUUCUAUUUUUUUUUCUUUUAAUUCAAUGUUUUUAUAGUGAAAAGUUCAUCCUUAAUAGUUCAAUUAAUAAAAACUAGGAACGAAGAAUAAGUUAUUUUUAAAGUAAUUUUGUUUAUUCCUCGUAUAUGAAUAAUAAUUUUCAUGUUUAAAAAUAUUAAAUUUUUUAAACGGAAGGAAUAAAGGAACAUGAUAUAUUCAUUAGAGUAAAGAAAUAGUAAUAUUUUUUUUAAAAUAAUCACUAUAUUUGUAAAUUAUAUUAUUAAUAAUUAAAAAACUAUUGAUCCAAAAGUUCUACUUUUUCACCACUUGUAGAAUUAUUCAUUGUGUGUUAUUGUUCUAGUUCUUGUUGUCAUCAACAAAUGGUACUUUAAACAAUUAGAUUUUAACAUUUUUUUACAUGGAAAUCUCAACGAAGUGGUUUAUAUGUAGCUAUUUCCAUGGCAUAAAAAGGAUCACAAUAAGGUUUGGAAAUCGAAUAAAUCUCUACAUGUUCUUAAACUAGCUAGUAGGCAAUGAUACUUCAUGUUGUCGUGUUUAUAAACGUUUUAAGUCUAUUUGUUCUAAUUCUGUUUUUACGAAACUGUGGAUUUUGAAUAGUGGAGUAACCCAUCACAUGAUAUCUGAUUCACAAUUUUUCACACACAUUUCAUCAUUAUUUAUUCUAUUUAUUUUAAAUGUUAAUCUGCCCACGAACUCAACUGCGAUCAUCUCAUCUACGGGCACUUUUUGCAUGGUUACGUUUUGUUGAACUUGGCUACGGAGAGAAUAAUUGGCUCGGGUAAACCAUAUGCAAGCUGACCCUGAUUUAUGGCACAAGCGCCUCGAACAUCCUUUCUCUGACGCGUCUACAACUUGUAUCUUCAUUACUGCGUAUAAGUAUAAAUCUCAUUUUCAUUCAUAAUAAUUGUAGUAUUUGUCCAAAGCUAAACAGAUAAGACUACCAUUUCCUUUAAGCAAAAUAAAAUCUCAUAUUGUCCAUUUAAUCUAUUGCAUUGUGACAUUUAGGGUCAUCAUAAAAUCCCAACUCAUUUUGGAAAAUAGGUUUUUUUUUCUCACUCACUAUAGUCUAUGACUAUUUCUUAUGAAUCACAAAUCUGAAACCAACAUCUCUUAACAUCAUUAAUUACAUUUGCACAAAACUAAUUUCACACAUCUAUUAAAACCAUUUGUGUUGACCACGGAUUCAAAUUUAUUUUAAUGCCUAAUUUUUUUCUCAAAAAAAACUAUUGAAUGUCAAUGCACUUGUGUUUACACUCUCAACAAAAUGGGAUAGUAGAACCAACCGUAGAUACAUUUUAAACACAGCACAAGGAUACCUAGAAAAUUCUUCCGUAGAUAAAUGGAUUUUUUUUUUAAUGUAAAGACAUCUUACUUUAAUAAAAUAAUGUAUAUAUAUAUAGUUAAAAUCAUUUUUCAAGAGAAAAGAGAACUUACCCAAUACUUAUAAUUAUUUUACAAUUUACCUAAUCGGAUAACAUUUUCAAGAAAUUACACCUUAAUGCUAAAUUUUCUAAAGGUUUCCUUCGUAAUGUAAUAGCUCAAAACUAUGAUUAUUUGUUACUAAAACAUUCAAAAAGUAUGAUUAUUUUUUACUAAACAAUCAAAGCUAUAUAAGGAUAAUUAUGAAACGUUGAACAAUGAUGCAGCGUAUGAAUCUGUGAAACAAAAAAGGCACGUGAACCACACCUUUACAGCACUGAUGCCUCGUAUCCACCACAACUUCAUUAAACCGGUAACUGAUAAUCCUAAUUUUUUAUAUAAUUAUAUUAUAAUUUUAAUAUAUUUUAAUAUUAUUUAAUUAUAAAUUUACUUUUUAUUAUAUAUUUUCACUUAAAAUAAUCCAACUAGAGUUACGUAUGCUCUUACAUCAUUUACCAGUAAAUAAUAAUUUUGUAGUAGCCUACAUCACUCUUAUAAUAAAGGAUCAUGGACACUGCAGAGUGAAAACCCCAAAACCAAACCAAGAGAGAGGAGAGAUCUGCACUGCUACCAAUUUUUCAUCUGCCUCUUUGGAGCCAUGGUUCUCCUAACAAACAGCCCUCACUUUGUAUUAUUCCCCAUGAUGGCUCAAGGUCACAUCAUCCCCAUGAUGGACAUUGCAAGAAUAUUGGCACAGCGUGGUGUGAUUAUCACCUUAUUCACAACCCCAAAAAAUGCAUCACGUUUCAGUUCUGUUAUAUCUCGAGCUGUUUCAACAGGCCUCAAAAUCCGUGUCCUACAACUUCCUUUUCCAUCAAAAGAAGCAGGGCUACCUGAAGGGUGUGAGAAUUUGGACAUGGUAACUUCAAAUGAUAUUUCCAAAAUUUUCCAUGUCAUCCACAUGCUCCAAAAGCCAGCAGAGGAGUUCUUUGAGACACUUACGCCCAAACCAAGUUGCAUAAUCUCUGACUUCUGCAUUCCUUGGACCGCUGAAUUAGCCGAAAACUAUCACAUUCCAAGGAUUUCUUUCCACGGAUUUUCAUGUUUUUGCCUCCAGUGCCGGUACGUGAUACAUACUUCAAAGUUUUGUAAAAGCAUCACUUCAGAAUCCAAAUACUUCACUAUUCCCGGCAUACCCGACCAAAUUCAAGUUACCAGAGAGCAGUUACCAGGAUCACUUGGCAAGGAUUUGGAUGACUUUAAAGAUCAGGUGCGUCAUGCUGAAAUGAAGUCUUAUGGGGUUAUCAUAAAUAGUUUUGAAGAGUUAGAGAAGGCAUAUGUGAGGGAUUACAAGAAGGUAAGAAAUAAUAAGGCGUGGUGCAUUGGUCCUGUUUCAUUGUGCAACAAAGAUGGUUUGGAUAAGUCUCAAAGAGGCAACCAGGCCUCAAUUAACGAGCACCAUUGCUUGACGUGGCUAAAUUUGCAGCAACCCAAGUCAGUGGUCUAUGUUUGUUUUGGAAGCAUAUGCAACUUGAUUACUUCAGAACUUGUGGAGUUGGCCUUGGCCUUGGAAGAUACAAAAAGGCCAUUUGUAUGGGUCAUUAGGGAGGGAAGUCAGUUCCAAGGACUAGAAAAGUGGAUCUCUGAAGAAGGGUUCGAGGAAAGGACCAAAGGGAGAGGCCUUAUAAUUCGAGGUUGGGCACCACAAGUGAUAAUAUUAUCACACCCUUCCAUUGGAGGAUUCUUAACACACUGCGGUUGGAAUUCAACACUUGAAGGGAUAAAUGGUGGAGUGCCACUGGUUACCUGGCCUCUAUUUGGUGAUCAGUUUUUGAAUGAGAAGCUUGUUACUGAUGUGUUGAAGAUUGGAGUGAGCGUUGGGGUAGAGGUUCCAGUGAAAUGGGGAGAGGAAGAGAAGAGGGGUGUGUUGGUGAAGAAGGAUGAUAUUAAGAGGGCAAUAUGCAUGGUGAUGGAUGAAGAUGGAGAAGAAGGCAAAGAGAGAAGAGAAAGGGUAAGGAAACUGAGUGAGAUGGGAAAGAGAGCCGUUGAAGAAGGAGGCUCUUCUCAUCUUGAUAUCACUUUGCUAAUCCAAGACAUUAUGCAACAAUCAACUACCCAAGAGGCUUAAUUUGUUUUUAUCUACAGUGAUAUAUUGCAUACCUACAUAUUAUUAACCCAAAUCUAUAAGAGGAUGCAAUUUUGACGCCUAAAAGAUUCUCGAUUCAUGUUGACGUAUUUCUUUAAUUUUUACGUUCAUAUUAACCCUAUUUUAUAUGGUGGUGAUGCUGUGUUUCGAUGUGUUGAUUUACUAUUGAAGUGGAUGGAAGAAUCUGCCCCACUCAUAGAAUAUAAAAGAACUGAUGGUGGGAUUGGGAAAUUUACCCUUUGUCCAGUUAAGGUCUUAAUCAUAAUUAAUUAUAGUUUAGUGAUUGAUGGAUUACAGUACUUGCCUUUCCAACUCCAAAUAAACUCAUUUCUCCCAUCACUUUUUUUUUGCAACCAACUUUACCUCUUCUACUUCUAUUUAUAAUUUUUUUAGUGUUGAUACCUUGAUAAUAAUGUACUAAAUUAUUGAAAAAAUAUAUUUUUUUGUUUGAAAUAAAGAAAUCUUAAAAUUAUAUUUACCGAAUCACUUAUGUUUUUCAAUUUGUAGUUUUGAAAGGAACAUUUUUCAUUUUUUUUAUUAACACUAACAUCCAUUAUCCAUUAUACCUAGGUAAUAUAAUACAUUCACUUUCAAAAUAAUAUACCUUAAAAAAAUGCAGUUUAAUUUUUUUUUUAUCUAUUUAAUGAAAUAUUAUAUUAAUGUUAACUUAUAAAUAUCUUAUCUCUUAUUUUAAAUAAAUAAAAAAUAUUAAUCUUAAUACAUUUAAAACAAAGAUAUUUUUAUAAAUCAAUAAAUUAUAUUAAAUUUAAUUUAUUUUUCAUUCACAUCAAUCAUAUUUAUUAUAAAUUUUUUACCUCAUUCAACUCAUUUUUCUUACAUCUAAAAACAACCUUGAUUUUCAUUUUUUAAUAAAUUCUUAAAAAAAAGAGAAAAAGUUUGAUUUGUGUUUGUGCAAUGACAAAUUGUACACGUUCUCUUGCGCUUAAUUAUUUGUCUUAUUGUGUGACUUCACUCAUCUAGAUCUGCACGUGAUACAUCAUUAUCACUUUAGCUUUAGUUACACUUUUGUCUUGUGAUUUCUUUACUUUUAUUUUGUCUAAUAUCGUUUUAGGGUUAAUAAAUAGUUUUGUUUUAUCUUGUCUUUUAAAUCAGUUCAAUUCGAUUUGUUUUCUUCUAUAUUAAUUUAAUUGAUUUAAAAUGAUAAGGUUAAUUAACAGUGAUAUGUUUAAAUUGUCAGUAAAAAACUAUUACUAAUCAAUAAAUUUUCAGUAACAUUGUCAUUAUUCAAGACUAUUACUAAUUCAACUUACACAAAAAAAUUAAAUAUCAUCUACUCAAAGCCAAGUACCUUGAAUAACUAAAGAAGCUUUGAUCACUACAUCAGAUUAGUUCUUUUGUCAUAUUAUGAAUUUUAUUUUACUUAUUAUUAUUAUUAUUAUUAAAAAUAUUCUGUAUGUAAUAUUUUAUAUACGAAUAUCAUCCGUAUAUAAUUAUUCUUGUUUCAUGACGCCAAAAUUAUAUACGGAUUAAAUUUGUAUGUAAUCACUUUUGGCUUACAUACGAAAAAAUCCAUAUGUAACGUCUAUUUACAUAUUGAAUUAAAUCUUUAUGUAAAUAUUUGUAUGUAGUCACUUUUGACUUAUAUACAGAAAAAUUCGUAUGUAAUCACUUUUGUUUUUAUAUAUGAAAAAAAUCGUAUGUAAUCAUUUAUGUUCUUACAUACGAAAAACAUCCGAAUGUAAUGUCUAUUUCAUAAUAAAUAAAAUUCGAAUGUAAAUAUUCAUAUGUAAUGCUCAUUUUACAUACGAAUUAAGAUCUAUAUGUAAUAAUUGGUAUGUAAGUAGACAAUUUCUUGUAGUGAAAAAUACUGAUUAAAAAAUUAUAAAUGAUUUUUUUUAUAAAUGUAUAUUCAUUGUAAUUUUUAACACUCUAAAGUUUUAUAUAUUUUUAAGGUUAACUUAAUUAAUAAAACCCGAAAUUGUUUGAGAAAGAAAUUAUUACUUCCGUAAAUUGAAAAUAAUAAUUACUUGAAUAAUGUAUUCUAUCUUGUAAUAUUUGAAUUAGAAUUGUAGUUUAUACGACAGCUUAAAAUCGUCACAGUAAUUAAUAAAUUCUAUAAUUAAAAAAAUUACAAAAUUAAAAAUUCAAUUACAAUAAAACAAAUACAAGAUUAAGAAUUUAAUUAGAUUAUGUACUCAGUACUUAUCUAUUAACAUACAUAGUAAAUGUUUUGAAAAGAUUUUCAUCAUUGAUUGUUGACAUAGGACAUACAUUUAAACUUUAACAAACAAACUUUGAUUGGAUAUUUGUUAAUGACCAGUGGUUCAUUGUAUAUCACAUUAUUUAUCUAUAUAUUCGUGAUUUAAAAAGGUGCCUAGGCAUUAUUCUUGUUCAAAUUCUGAUUGGUGACUCUCAUGGACAGCUAUGGUGUGAUGAAAAAGAGAAAUACAUAAAAGUAACAAACAAAAUCCUAGUUCAUGUAUUACUAGCCAAGAGAUCUGAAAUCACGACAAAAAAGGUCAAAAUUAUUGACUCAGUAGUGUGGCAUUAUUCAAUGUGCUUGCGUAAGCGCUUACAUGAACAUUCACUAAUACAUUACAAACUCACAACAUCAACCAAUCGAAAUCGAAUUAUUUGAUGUAAUAGAUUUAGAAAUAAAUAUAUAUAAUAAAUAAUAAAUUUAUAAUUAAAUAAUAUAAAUAAAUAUUAAAAUAAUAGUAUUGAAAAUUAUAAUGUAAUUAUAUAAAAGAUUGGAGUUGGAAAUAUAUCAUUAGGCGUGUUUGUAUUAUGUGACAGACCCACAUUUAAGAACACACCAUUUAAAGGCAGCGUAAUUCAUAGAUUGUGCAUUGCCAUUUUAGUGCAAAACUAUGUCUUCCCAAGAACAAAGGCCACACUUUGUCCUGAUUCCAUUGAUGGCCCAAGGCCACUUGAUCCCCAUGAUGGACUGGGCGAAAUUAUUGGUGCACCACGGUGUUACUGUGACUGUAGUCACCACGCCGCAUAACGCAGCUCGUUUCAGACCUAUCUUCGAUCGUUAUGUUGAGAAUGAGAAUGGACUUGCUAUUAAAUUAGUUCAAGUUCGAUUCCCAUGUGAAGAAGCAGGACUGCCCGAAGGAUGCGAGAAUAUCGAUAUGAUACCUUCACUUGGCACGGCCAGGACUUUCUUCGAAGCAACAAACCUUCUACAGCAACCCGUGGAAAAACUCUUUGGAGAGUUAUCACCAUCACCAAGCUGCAUAAUCUCCGAUAUGUGUUUGCCAUUUACAUACCAUAUCGCCAAAAAAUUCAAUAUCCCAAGGAUUUCUUUUCUUGGUGUAAGUUGCUUUUGUCUUCUGUGUCAUCAUAAUAUUCUCAUCCAUAAUGUCAGGGACAACGUAGCAUCGGACUCAGAGUACUUUGUUGUGCCUGAUUUCCCUGACAAGAUUGAGAUUACCAUAGCACAGAGUGGUGUGUCGAUGAAUGAAAAGUGGGAACAGUUUCGUGAAGAAAUUGCGGUUGCUGAAAAGAGUGCUUAUGGUAUAAUCAUGAAUUCUUUUGAAGAGUUGGAGCCAGCAUAUGCAAGGGAUUACAAGAAGGUAAAAAAUGAUAAAAUGUGGUGUAUAGGACCUGUAUCACUUAUUAACAAGGAUGACUUGGAUAAGGCUGAAAGAGGUAGGGGCUCAAUCGAUGUGUCCCAAUAUCUAAAAUGGCUUGAUUGUGAGAAGGCAGGGAGUGUAAUCUAUGCAUGCCUUGGAAGCCUAUGCAAUUUAACAGCACCCCAGUUGAUAGAGCUUGGUUUGGCCUUGGAAGCAUCACAAAGACCCUUCAUUUGGGUUAUCAGGGAAGGACGUUAUUCAGAAGCAUUGGAAAAGUGGAUCGAGGAAAAUGGAUUUGAGGAAAGGACAAGUUCUAGAAGCCUUCUCAUUCGGGGGUGGGCUCCUCAAUUGUUGAUAUUAUCACACCCUGCAAUUGGAGGCUUCAUAACACACUGUGGUUGGAACUCUACCUUAGAAGCAAUAUGUGCUGGUGUUCCAAUGAUUACAUGGCCAAUGUUUGGUGAUCAGUUCUUGAAUGAAAGUUUAGUGGUUCAAGUUCUAAACGUUGGAGUAAAGGUUGGGGUGGAAACUCCAAUGACAUGGGGCCAGGAAGAGGAAAUGGGUUUGGAAGUGAAAAAGGAAGACGUUGAAAGGGCAAUAAUAGAGAUAAUGGAUGUGACAAGUGAAGGUGAAGAAAGAAGAAAAAGGAUAAGAGAAUUGAGCGAGAUGGCUAAAAGAGCCGUGGAGAAAGGGGGAUCCUCUCACUCUAAUGUCAACUUGCUUAUCCAGGAUAUUAUGCAAAAAAACAAGGGAGAUGUGCUAUAGUUUCAUUUGCCAUAAACCAUUUUCACUAAAAAUUUAUGAAUUAUCUAUGUUUUCUCUUUUCUAAGAAAAUAUUGUGCAUUAUCUUCUCACAUAUUUAAGUUAUAUUGCUUUUAAUGUCUUAAUAUAUAUUAAAAAUACUUUAAAAUAUUACUUGUGCAUUGACGUGGUAAUGCGACACGUUCAUGAUUUAGCUACCUCGUAGUGUUGGCUUAUCAAAAGCGAGUUACACUUAGUGUUAAGUCAUGGGUCUCUCCCGAUGGAAUAUAACAAAUUGUUUAUCUUUUGACCUUCAAAUUCAUCAUAGCCUCAUUGGCCUACGUCUGAGAUUGAGGGGCAUGUUAGGUUAUGGGUUUGGUUUGAUAGUUGGUCAUUUAUGAUUGUUUCCCGACCUAUUAUCUAACAUUAUGAGGGACUACAAAUCAAUGAAUCUCAAUAAAUUAACUUUAAUAACUCAAUUAAGACAUAAUCAUGACUAAAGGUGAAGAGGUUAAUUACAAUUCGAUCUAUAUAUAUCAUAUUAGACUUUACAAAAAAACAUCAUCUAAUAAACAACAUAAGGAGUACUCUCUCUCAACUCCUAUUUUAAAUUAUAUUAUAUUUAUGUUUUUAUUGACUUAAACGUCCGAGUAUCACAUAGGAGGAGUCCCUUGUUCUAAAAGAUUGAAUCACUAGAGCUUGAAGGGAGACCACAAAAAACUCUUUCAGAUGCCGAUCGACCUCAAGUUGACUAGAAAACUUAGGAUGAAAUAACUUGUGUAAAACUUAUAUAUUAAUAGAUUUUACAUCUCCCUAUGAGUGUGACUUUGAGAUCAUGGACGCCUAAGUUAAAAAAAUCUAGACAAUAUUUUAUAAUUUUUUAAUCUUAAAUUUUAUUAUCUUUAUAAAAUUAAAAACUCAUUAUAAAUAUAAUAAUUAAAAAAAUACUUAAAAAAUAAUAAUUUACUAUUUUUAUAGAUAAAUAAGAAAGUAUAUUAUGAAAAUAUAUAUUAAAAUAAAGCAUGAAAUAAAAUAUAAACGUGUACUUGUAAAUAUAUAUAAUAUUAAAUAAAUAAUAAAAAAUAUUUAAUUAUAUUCAUUAUAUAAAUAAUAUUAUAUAACAAUAAAGUAUUAAAAGAUUAAUGUAAAUUGUGAAAUAGAAUAAAUUAAUCAAUAUUUAAAUAUCUAAUCCACUCUGCAGUUUAUACAUGGGUCCCUCAUUAUCAUCCCAACUUGUGGAGGAAAACAACAGAAGAGAACGAACCAAAUAUUCAAAUUCGUGUUACCGUCAUUUUAACUUUUUUUUUUUUUUUUCAUUUUGUUUUCUAAUGCAUGCCGACUCCAUAGACUUCACAAAUAAUUUGUUUUGUAAGGAUGAGAGAGCUUGCAUGUUUUUUCUUCCGUUAAGAAAAGUGUUUUCUUAUAUAUAAUUUUACUCAUUUUAAUAAAUAAUUGUACAUUAAUUAUUAUUUUCAACUUUUACAUCCCAAUUAGAUUGGUAUUCAAAGGUUUACAUGAAUUACAAGAAUCAUUUCACCUCAACCUUUGUUCUUCUAAGUUUUGCAAAUGUCGAGUAAUAAAUAUUUCGUAUAUAUGUAUAAUUUAAGAAGUAAGCAUAAGUACAAUUCAUCUUUCCCAAACUAGUUUGAAAGGUGAGAAUUAAAUAGUGUAAACUAAUUUUAUUUCUAGUCUAUGCCUAAUUUCUAAUCAAUAUAUAUGUUUUUUUUUUGUGUUUUCUGCAUUUGCAUUGUUUUAGACAAUUGUAAAAGUCAUUUUAGAAGACGAUCAUACUUCAGGAUGAAUGUAAUAUAAGAAUCUUAAUUAUACAGUGGAAAUUAAUUGAAAUAUUAUUAAUUCUGACUACAAUUACAUGAUCAAGAUUAAUAAGAUGAACUCGUGUAUCACGAGGGCAUGCAUCUAAAAGUUUUUAGAAUUUCUCCACACAUGAUUUAUGUGGUCCAACAUGUACCUCACAUUAUUCUUAUUGCAAUCAAAAAUGUUUUUUUACAUCCAUACUCUAUCCUAUAUCCCAAUAAAUAUUGACAUUUUAAUUAUUUAUAAUUUUUUUAAUUUUAAAAAUUAUUUUAACAUUUUAUAUUUUGCUUAUAUUUUUAUUAAGAUUUUUUUUAAAUUUUUUAUUGUAAAUAUAUUGUUAGUGUAAAAUGGAAUUAAGCGUCAAAAUAUCACCGAUUGCAAUUUCGAUACUCAUGCAGACUUGCAGUACACAAGGGACAUAAUUUUUUGUGCUCGAUCUACAAAGAAACUUGAUGAUACAUAAUAAAACUUUCCAAUUUCUUGUAUUUGGGUCUAACAGAUAAUGCUAAACCAAAAAGACAAAAGGCAAGGAAAUCUCCAAUGCACUGUCACCUAAUACAAAGUAAAUUGUAUAGCAAUGCAAUUAUAUUUUUUACUGUUUGUCAUUUAGAAAAUGUGAAAAAAAUUAAUUUGAUAUUAAUUUUUAAAAUAAUUUAAUUGAUUGAUUGAUUAAAAUUAAAAGUUAACUAGUUGAAAUAUAAAAUAUGGUUAAAAUAACAUAAUUAUAUAUGCAUGAAUUUUAAUCUCAAAGUAUCCUUAUAAUGACUUGAAUAAUAAUUUAUACUAUUAAUAAAGAAUAUAUAUGUAUUUCUUAUUAGUAAAUUUUUUAGAUAUUUUAUUAUUUUAAAAAUCACCCACCUCCUAAAUAAUAUGGAAGAAAAAAGUUAUAAGAGAAUGAGGGUGUGUCUUUGGAAGAUUUGGAGAUCUAAAAUAUUAUUUGUUUUUUAGCUCAUAUCACCAUGAUAAUUUUAUUUUUAAAAAGUGUCCUCCACCGUUAAAAGUGAAAGAUGUAUUUAAAUUGGUUUUACUUCCGACUUCUUAGCCAUUAGAGAUUUAACAUAAUGAAAUAAUACCCCAAUUUGUUAUUAUAACAAAAAAAAAUCAAACUCUAUGAUAUUUCUAAACUUAAGAGAAAUAGUAAUUCUUUUACUAAUAAUAAUAAGGAAAACUUUCUUUUAACACUGUUGAACAGUUAAAAACAUACCUUUAACAACAGUUUAUAAUAAUACAAUAAUAUUUCUAAUUAAAAAAUAAAUCAAAAGUAAAUAAAAUAUUAAUUUAUUCUGUUUACGGUGUUAAUAUAUCACCGCUCUAAUAAUAAACCUAUGAACUGGUAUUAUUAAGGAAAAGAUUUUGUUGCUAAAAAAAAUAAAAAAUACUUCACACUCUAAUAAUAAUAUUUUUAAUUAAAAAUAUAUUAAUUUUUUAUACGUGAAAUAAAUGUUUGGCACUGUGUGUAUGGUGUUAACGAUCCUAUUAUUAAUAGUUCAAAUCUUGGUUAAAACACAUGCAUGAACUGUAUCACUGGUCCAAAUGGACAUUAUUCUCUCUCCAAUGAAGCCUCUUAUGGCCGGCUUGGUUUCCUCCGACAAAGGGAUCCGACAUUAUGAUACAAACAUACUAUGUAUUACGUAGCAACAAAACUUUCCAACUGAAUGCAUUUGUUUCUGCAGAAGAUGCAAAUCCAAACAGACAAAACGCAACGCAAUUUGCAAUGCACUGUCUCAUAUUCCAAGGUAUUCACGUAGUUGCAUCGAGAGAGGCUGCAUGACGCGUCUAUAAAUAAAUAAACAGGUUGAAGUGAAUUCAUUGCAGAAUACCAUUCCACAACAAGAAUGGGUCCCCAAGAUCAGCAACUCCACUUCGUCUUGUUUCCAUUGAUGGCUCAAGGCCACAUGAUCCCCAUGGUGGACAUUGCAAAAGUAUUGGUGCGACGCAAUGUUAUUGUGACUGUAGUCACUACCCCAAACAAUGCAGCUCGUUUCACGUCAAUCUUUGAUCGUUAUGUUGAAUCUGGGUUUCAAAUCAGAUUAGUUCAACUUCAAUUCCCAUGUAAAGAAGCUGGAGUACCAGAUGGAUGUGAGAAUCUCGAUAUGAUACCUUCACUGGGCAUGGCCGCUGGCUUCUUCAAUGCAACAAACUUACUUCGACAACCAGCUGAAAAACUGUUUGAAGAGUUAACACCAGCACCAAGCUGCAUCAUCUCCGAUAUGUGCUUACCGUAUACAAACCACAUUGCUAAAAAGUUUAAAAUUCCCAGGAUUUCUUUUGUGGGAGUAAGUUGCUUCUAUCUCUUUUGCAUGUCUAAUAUACGUAUCCAUAAUGUUAUGGAGAGCGUAACUACUGAAUCGGAGUACUUUGUUGUGCCUGGUAUACCUGACAAAAUUGAAAUGAACGUAGCUAAGUCCGGACUAGCAAUUAAUGAAGGCAUGAAACAGGUUACUGAUACAUUGUUUGAAGCUGAAAUGGAAGCUUAUGGGAUGAUCAUGAAUUCUUUUGAAGAGCUGGAGCCAGCCUAUGCAGGGGGAUACAAGAAGAUGAGAAACAAUAAACUGUGGUGUUUGGGACCACUGUCAUAUAGCAACAAGGAUCACUUGGAUAAGGCUCAAAGAGGUAGAAUGGCCUCAAUUGAGGAGUGCCACCUGAGGUGCUGGCUUGAUUGUCAAAAGCUAGGAACUGUAAUCUAUGCAUGCUUUGGAAGCCUGUGUAAUUUAACAGCACCACAGUUGAUAGAGCUUGGUUUGGCCUUGGAAGCAUCACAAAGACCCUUCAUUUGGGUUAUCAGGGAAGGAAGUUAUUCAGAAGCAUUGGAAAAGUGGAUCGAGGAAAAUGGAUUUGAGGAAAGGACAAAUGGUAGAAGCCUUCUCAUUCGGGGCUGGGCUCCUCAAUUGUUAAUAUUAUCACACCCUGCAAUUGGAGGGUUCUUAACACACUGUGGUUGGAACUCUACCUUAGAAGCAAUAUGUGCUGGUGUUCCAAU
This 14229-nucleotide long non-coding RNA is filed under the name Phaseolus vulgaris (common bean). RNAcentral's name for it is "long non-coding RNA (PVUL_LNC005220)". The record is from RNAcentral. Lineage: Eukaryota; Viridiplantae; Streptophyta; Magnoliopsida; Fabales; Fabaceae.